This 510-nucleotide ribosomal RNA is filed under the name uncultured bacterium. Its description in RNAcentral is "bacterial SSU rRNA". It matches the Rfam family "Bacterial small subunit ribosomal RNA", at positions 8 to 523 of the family's 1533-position model. The record is from RNAcentral.
AGAGUUUGAUCCUGGCUCAGAUUGAACGCUGGCGGCAGGCCUAACACAUGCAAGUCGAGCGGGGGUAGCAAUACCCUAGCGGCGAACGGGUGAGGAAUGCUUGGGAAUCUGCCUGGUAGUGGGGGAUAACGUUCCGAAAGGAACGCUAAUACCGCAUACGUCCUACGGGAGAAAGGGGGGGAUCUUCGGACCUCUCGCUAUCAGAUGAGCCCAAGCGGGAUUAGCUAGUUGGUGAGGUAAAGGCUCACCAAGGCUACGAUCCCUAGCUGGUCUGAGAGGAUGAUCAGCCACACUGGAACUGAGACACGGUCCAGACUCCUACGGGAGGCAGCAGUGGGGAAUUUUGGACAAUGGGCGCAAGCCUGAUCCAGCCAUGCCGCGUGAGUGAAGAAGGCCUUCGGGUUGUAAAGCUCUUUCAGCCGGAAAGAAAUCGCACCGAUUAAUACUCUGUGUGGAUGACGGUACCGGAAGAAGAAGCACCGGCUAACUACGUGCCAGCAGCCGCGGUAA